GAUCAUGGCUCAGGAUGAACGCUGGCGGCGUGCUUAACACAUGCAAGUCGAACGAAGCACUCUGAUCACUUCGGUUCGAAGAGUGACUGAGUGGCGGACGGGUGAGUAACGCGUGGGUAACCUGCCUCAUACAGGGGGAUAACAGUUAGAAAUGGCUGCUAAUACCGCAUAAGCGCACAGUACCGCAUGGUACGGUGUGAAAAACUCCGGUGGUAUGAGAUGGACCCGCGUCUGAUUAGCUAGUUGGUGAGGUAACGGCUCACCAAGGCGACGAUCAGUAGCCGACCUGAGAGGGUGACCGGCCACAUUGGGACUGAGACACGGCCCAAACUCCUACGGGAGGCAGCAGUGGGGAAUAUUGCACAAUGGGCGAAAGCCUGAUGCAGCGACGCCGCGUGAACGAAGAAGUAUUUCGGUAUGUAAAGUUCUAUCAGCAGGGAAGAAAAUGACGGUACCUGACUAAGAAGCACCGGCUAAAUACGUG
This 484-nucleotide ribosomal RNA is filed under the name uncultured bacterium. Its description in RNAcentral is "bacterial SSU rRNA". It matches the Rfam family "Bacterial small subunit ribosomal RNA", at positions 15 to 507 of the family's 1533-position model. The record is from RNAcentral.